CCUACGGGAGGCAGCAGUGGGGAAUAUUGCGCAAUGGGCGAAAGCCUGACGCAGCGACGCCGCGUGCGGGAUGGAGGCCUUCGGGUUGUAAACCGCUUUUGUUCAAGGGCAAGGCACGGUCUUUGGCCGUGUUGAGUGGAUUGUUCGAAUAAGCACCGGCUAACUACGUGCCAGCAGCCGCGGUAAUAUGUAGGGUGCAAGCGUUAUCCGGAAUUACUGGGCGUAAAGCGCUCGUAGGCGGUAUGUCAAGUCAAGGGUGAAAUCCCCGCGCUCAACGUGGGAACUGCCUUUGAAACUGGCAAACUGGAGUGUGUGAGAGGAUAGUGGAAUUCCAGGUGUAGGAGUGAAAUCCGUAGAUAUCUGGAGGAACAUCAGUGGCGAAGGCGACUAUCUGGCACAUAACUGACGCUGAGGAGCGAAAGCGUGGGUAGCAAACAGGAUUAGAUACCCCGGUAGUC
This 458-nucleotide ribosomal RNA is filed under the name uncultured bacterium. Its description in RNAcentral is "partial 16S ribosomal RNA". It matches the Rfam family "Bacterial small subunit ribosomal RNA", at positions 338 to 795 of the family's 1533-position model. The record is from RNAcentral.